Manis javanica (Malayan pangolin) is the source of this 1165-nucleotide non-coding RNA. NCBI's taxonomy places the organism in Eukaryota, Metazoa, Chordata, Mammalia, Pholidota, Manidae. The record is from RefSeq and is a predicted model, not a curated record.
AUGCUCCGAGCCCCAGGAACCGUCCUGGGGGCUGGACCACGGGCCCGUGGCCAAUCAGCACAGGCUUGCGGACCGGGCGAAGAGUGGGGGCUCCCGGGAGUGGGGUGGCGGCAUACGCAUUGUCUAGGACUUGUGGGGGAGGGUACGGAAAAAGCUGAGUACUGAGAAUUGGUGGUGGGUGAAGGAACCGAGGGCGAGAAGGUGGCGAGGCGAGGGCGACCAGUGUGGCAGGCUGGGGGUGCGGGCAGAGCUGGCACUGGAUGGGGCCUGUAGCAGGUGGAGAGGCCGUCAGGGCCUCUUGUUUCGUCUCAUUGCGGCUGCGGCAACCAGAGACGGGGCGACCUCCGCUCCGUUUCUAGCCCUGCCGGAUCUUCUCCUAGAGUCCACAGCUCCGGGCGCGUACCAAGGACGCCUCCGCACUGCGGGAUGGCUUUUGCUCCUUGGGAGUGGAUGCGGUGGGUGUGGUUCGCCGCGCAGAGUGGACUUUCCAGCGGUCAGAACGCGGGUGGGGGCGGGGCUGCGGCAGAACAAAGGGCUCACAAAUGCGUGUGAUACUUACCACAACUGAGUAUUUAAAAAUCACACCCCAGGCGCUCACCCUCCCUGGGUUCCGUUCAUCUAUUGUCCCGUACGGGGAUGGGUUCUGAGGCUGGUCCAUCGCCGCCCCACCGCUAACAUUCUUAUCUUUCAUCAGGCGUCAUACCCGCGGCGGCCAAGAGGUACCCCAUCUUCGUACUGCGGAUGGGGUUUCUAGGUAGUCGGAACCUCUUUGUUAAUUUUCGUGUGUGUGUGGGAACCUGCGAGCCCUUGAGUGAGAGAGCGUAAAGGGAGUCUGCAACGUUCACCCUUGACCUGGAACCGAGUCGCUCCUCCUCCACCCCCUUCCCGACCCGGGAAAGGUAGUCUGCGAGCUCCUGCAGAUGCAGAAACUUCGAGGCGAACGACUCCCAAGGUCACACAGCAAGUGAAAAUACGGGCUCAGGCUGGAAUCCCUUCUCCCCGGACGCCCCAGCCCUGGGGAAGGUGACCACGUCGGGUCAAAAGGUCUGCGGCUGGUGUUAGCACCCAGGCCUGGGAUGGCGGCUCUGGCAGGACCGCCCUGUCGGCGUGCUCCGAGCGAGCGAGCACCCGCGCUGAGCCAGAUCUCUGCGGAGUGCUCCGGUGA